RNAcentral lists this long non-coding RNA (957 nucleotides) under Homo sapiens (human). RNAcentral's name for it is "HSALNT0218832". The record is from RNAcentral. Lineage: Eukaryota; Metazoa; Chordata; Mammalia; Primates; Hominidae.
GAGGGCAGGGACUGCUUGGACCUGUAUGUAAUGGGGUGCCCAGUGCCUGAUACUGUGCCUAACACAUAGGUGGAGGUCAAAAUAUAUGUUGAAUAAAUCAAUGUAUGAGUUUGUCCAUGAGGGCAAUAAAGGGGAAAACGUAAGGGGAAAAGCAUCCAGAGAAUAGUUCCCACUGGUUUAGGCUAGACAAGCAAUGUACCAAUGUUUUGGUUGCCCCAGAGUCCCUAGUACGGAGCUAUUUCCUACAUCAUUCACCAUCCUGAGCACAGAGACCUUCUGAAGUCUUAUUCCAUUGUUGCCUUUAACAGCAAAGAAAAAAGAAACUUGGAAGCCAGCUCCCUGGAUGUACUGUAUAUCUUUUGAAAACAAAAAGUGGUCUUUGGUCAUUUCAGAGAAAUUUUAAAUUCAUGGUAAUAUGAAAAAGAACUCAUUGUUUAAGAAAAAUAUUUUGGCCAGGCACAGUGGCUCAUGCCUGUAAUUCCAGCACUUUGGGAGGCCAAGGCAUGAGGAACAUUUGAGACCAGGGGUUCAACACUAGCCUGGGCAACAUAGUGAGACCCCCACUUCUACAAAAAAGAAAAAGAAAAAGAAAAUUAUCCAGACAUGGUGGUACAUGCCUGAGGAUAGCUUGAGCCCAGGAGGUUGAGGCUGCAGUGAGUUGAGGAAAAUAAACGUCUCAUUUCUCAUUCCAAAACCACAGGGACACUUUACUACAAAAGUAUGAUUGCACCACUGCACUCCAGCCUGGGCCACAGGAAAAAAAAAAAAAAAAGAAAGAAAAAGAAUAUUUUCAAGGAGUGAAUUAGACUAUAGUUUUGGAAGUCUGAUUCAUCCUUCAUGUAGUGUAUGUUAUGUUGCAUUAGCCAUCUUUCCAUGAAGUUCCAUCACUAGAUAAAUGAAAUUGAGCAUGUCUCUGCAUAGGUUUGGUCCUUCAGAGGUAUUGUUGAUUCUACAAAA